Molecule: ribosomal RNA, 450 nt
Filed under: uncultured bacterium
Lineage: Bacteria
Description: bacterial SSU rRNA
Rfam family: Bacterial small subunit ribosomal RNA
Source: RNAcentral
UGGCGGACGGGUGAGUAACGCGUAGGCAAUCUGCCUUCUAGAUGGGGACAACAUCCCGAAAGGGGUGCUAAUACCGAAUGUUGUAUGAUCUUCGCAUGGAGAUGGUACUAAAGGUGGCCUCUGAAUAUGCUACCGCUAGAAGAUGAGCCUGCGUCUGAUUAGCUAGUUGGAGGGGUAACGGCCCACCAAGGCUUCGAUCAGUAGCCGGUCUGAGAGGAUGAACGGCCACACUGGGACUGAGACACGGCCCAGACUCCUACGGGAGGCAGCAGUGGGGAAUCUUCCGCAAUGGACGAAAGUCUGACGGAGCAACGCCGCGUGAGUGAAGAAGGUUUUCGGAUCGUAAAGCUCUUUCGUUAGGGACGAACGUGCUCUUUGUGAAUAAUGAGGAGUAAUGACGGUACCUAAAUAAGAAGCCACGGCUAACUACGUGCCAGCAGCCGCGGUAAU